Molecule: ribosomal RNA, 253 nt
Filed under: uncultured bacterium
Lineage: Bacteria
Description: partial 16S ribosomal RNA
Rfam family: Bacterial small subunit ribosomal RNA
Source: RNAcentral
UACGUAGGAUGCAAGCGUUGUCCGGAUUUAUUGGGUUUAAAGGGUGCGUAGGCGGCUGUUUAAGUCGUGGGUGAAAGCUGGUAGCUCAACUAUCAAAAUGCCUGCGAUACUGGACAGCUUGAAUGAAGUAGAGGUAACUGGAAUGGGUGGUGUAGCGGUGAAAUGCAUAGAUACCAUCCGGAACACCGAUUGCGUAGGCAAGUUACUAUGUUUCAAUUGACGCUGAGGCACGAAAGUGUGGGGAGCAAACAGG